GGCUUCCUACGGGAGGCAGCAGUGGGGAAUAUUGCACAAUGGGCGGAAGCCUGAUGCAGCGACGCCGCGUGAGGGAUGACGGCCUUCGGGUUGUAAACCUCUUUCAGCAGGGACGAAGCGAGAGUGACGGUACCUGCAGAAGAAGCACCGGCCAACUACGUGCCAGCAGCCGCGGUAAGACGUAGGGUGCGAGCGUUGUCCGGAUUUAUUGGGCGUAAAGAGCUCGUAGGCGGCUUGUCGCGUCGACCGUGAAAACUUGGGGCUCAACCCCAAGCCUGCGGUCGAUACGGGCAGGCUAGAGUUCGGUAGGGGAGACUGGAAUUCCUGGUGUAGCGGUGAAAUGCGCAGAUAUCAGGAGGAACACCGGUGGCGAAGGCGGGUCUCUGGGCCGAUACUGACGCUGAGGAGCGAAAGCGUGGGGGGCGAACAGGAUUAGAUACCCUGGUAGUCCACGCUGUAAACGUUGGGCGCUAGGUGUGGGGGGCCUCUCCGGUUCCCUGUGCCGCAGCUAACGCAUUAAGCGCCCCGCCUGGGGAGUACGGCCGCAAGGCU
Molecule: ribosomal RNA, 552 nt
Filed under: uncultured bacterium
Lineage: Bacteria
Description: bacterial SSU rRNA
Rfam family: Bacterial small subunit ribosomal RNA
Source: RNAcentral